UGCGCGCGCGUUUGAGCACUGGCGCGCGCGACCCGUCUGUCUGAUUAUUUUUUUCUUUUUUAAAUGUAACCUGGUUUAUUGGGCUCCCGGCGUAUUCUUGCGUUCCUUCUGCACUGGGACAAGACACCACUGCACUAUUGGACUACGGCAAGCUGGUACCGUCCGGUGGAGCUUCAUACAGGAACUACUGCCUUACCUGCUGGUGUCACAACGUUGGAUGAACGCACAAAAAGCGCGGAACGAGCUUUUAUAUAGAGCAAAAUAAAUAUUUCCUCAUUGCACAAAA
This is a long non-coding RNA of Dermacentor silvarum, 286 nucleotides long. RefSeq lists it as uncharacterized. The transcript has 2 exons. The record is from RefSeq and is a predicted model, not a curated record. NCBI's taxonomy places the organism in Eukaryota, Metazoa, Arthropoda, Arachnida, Ixodida, Ixodidae.